GAGAGCGAUGUGAGCUUUUCCGCGCAUCGCCUCGUUUGUUUGCUUAUUUCCAGCCCAAGGUCACGGAAAGGAGGAGGAGGAGGAGCAGGCGAAGGACCCGGGAGAUGCACACGGGCUGGGCCCCGACGUGUACGCGGCCGGUCUGGGACACAGGCCGGGGCCAGGACCGGGCAGGCUGUGCCUAGCGCAGAGGCCGGUGUCGCCUCUGGCUGGGGACUGCCCCAAGCCCCAGCACACCUUGGCGGUGUGGCACCCAUGCUGCAGCCAGCGAAGCCCCUGCCAAGAGCGGCCGCAUUCCGGAGCCGCCGGCAUGAGAGAGGCCGGACAGACAAAAAGACAGGCACAGAGGCCCCUCUGCCCAGGCUCUAGGAGAAGGGAGGGAAAGCGAAAGAGCUGACAGCAGGAGCGGCCAGCGAGGCUCCGCGCUCUCAGCCCACCUCGGGGUUCUGGAGAUAACCGUAGGCACAUGAACAUAGGACACACACAGAGACCCCCGCGAAUAGGCACCGAACGGGUCUCUGCCUCGUGCGAGAUAACUGGGAGAUAAGAGCCCGGCAGAUAACAGCUCCAGGCACCAGCAUCGGAUGUUUGGCCACAGAGCCUCCCUCGGGCUCUCCCGAUCAGGCGCAGCCGCCGCUGCCCUCCCGGAGCGGCCGAGGGCCGAGAGGAAGGAGCGGAGAGGAGCGGGAAGGGAAAGCCGCGGCGAGGCUGAGAAGGAAGGGGUUAUCAGCUGGAUAUCUGUCAUCAUCAGUUUGUACAGAAAGAGUCAUCCGUGGCAAAGGGCUGGACCAGAGCAGAGCCCGGCAGGCAUGAAACCGAGCCCGGACCUGCUGGUGCCCGGUGCUGUCGCUCCUGGGGUAGGCACCACUUUUCUUUCUGUCUUUGCAGGCAAGGUGAUGGGGAGGUGAAGAGUUUGCAGUGCUGGGGGGGCGGUAGAAGCCUGUGUGGAGCCAUGCCCUCUGCGGUGUGGAUGAAUGGAUUGCGACCUCCGAGUUCUACCGUGCUCGUUCAUUUUUCGUGCUGCAGCGAGGCAGAGCUUUGGUCGGAAAAGAAGCACUUCGCCGAUAAAAAGUUUCCUAUUAAAUUGUCAGAUUAAAGGCGAUACUUCUUUCUUGUCA
Pogoniulus pusillus (Red-fronted tinkerbird) is the source of this 1118-nucleotide long non-coding RNA. RefSeq lists it as uncharacterized. The record is from RefSeq and is a predicted model, not a curated record. The transcript has 2 exons. Lineage: Eukaryota; Metazoa; Chordata; Aves; Piciformes; Lybiidae.